GAUGAACGCUGGCGGCGUGCUUAACACAUGCAAGUCGAACGAAGCACUUGAAGAUGAUUCUUCGGAUGAAACUUUUUGUGACUUAGUGGCGGACGGGUGAGUAACGCGUGGGUAACCUGCCUCACACAGGGGGAUAACAGUUAGAAAUGACUGCUAAUACCGCAUAACCCGAUAGGAUCGCAUGAUCCAGACGGAAAAGAUUUAUCGGUGUGAGAUGGACCCGCGUCUGAUUAGCUAGUUGGUGAGGUAACGGCCCACCAAGGCGACGAUCAGUAGCCGGCCUGAGAGGGUGAACGGCCACAUUGGGACUGAGACACGGCCCAAACUCCUACGGGAGGCAGCAGUGGGGAAUAUUGCACAAUGGGGGAAACCCUGAUGCAGCGACGCCGCGUGAGUGAAGAAGUAUUUCGGUAUGUAAAGCUCUAUCAGCAGGGAA
RNAcentral lists this ribosomal RNA (436 nucleotides) under uncultured bacterium. RNAcentral's name for it is "bacterial SSU rRNA". It matches the Rfam family "Bacterial small subunit ribosomal RNA", at positions 28 to 446 of the family's 1533-position model. The record is from RNAcentral.